This 999-nucleotide long non-coding RNA is filed under the name Panax ginseng (ginseng). Its description in RNAcentral is "long non-coding RNA (PGIN_LNC015656)". The record is from RNAcentral. Lineage: Eukaryota; Viridiplantae; Streptophyta; Magnoliopsida; Apiales; Araliaceae.
CCAAACAGGUCGGGAACAAGAUGCACCAGAAAUUCAUUUUCAGUUCCAAACAAACAACGACAAUCACACUACAGAUAUGGACACAAUGGAAAACAGACCUAAAACAACCAAAUCAUUCAUCAAACUAAAAUAAAAAACCCAUCUGACCAUGUACAAAGAUAAUCGGUAAAAGAACAUGAGUUCAGACCGGUAACUGGAGCAGGUCAUAAGACUAGAAACCCAAACUAUUACAGACCUCUGGCAAAUUCCGCACAAAUCCAAGCCCAGAUCCAACACAACCACAUCAGCCUAUCACAAACCCAAACGCCAAAGCUCCAAACCGGCUCCAAGAUUGGGUGGGCCGGUAGAGGAGGAGGAUAGGGAAAAUGAUGUUCGAGGGUGGGGUGGAGGAUUCAUGCAAAGACUAAAAACACCCAUAAUCUGAUCAGGUUGAGAAGUAGGAAAGAGAUAAGAAUCAGACCUGGUUAGUAUGGAACAUAUCUAAAUGCAACCUCCAACCAAAAUUAGAACCAGAUCUGAUAAGGAAAAUUUGAUUUGUUUUGUUUCAAUGCAGAAUAAAAGUUGUUUUACCAAAUUUAUCCUUGAUUAAAUAAUUUAAAUUAACAAAAUGGUGUAAAUAUUUUGAAGAAGCAAUAUCAACUUACCAAUUUUAAAGAGAAAGAAUGAGGUGGUUGCAUAUUUGAUGACUAAAUUUGGAGAGGCUAUUGGAGAUGUUCUUACAACACCAUCAAUGCAAAUGAAUAUAAUUGGGGACUGAUCAGUUAUUAUAAUUAAGCUGAUUGGAAUAUUAUUGUAAGUUACUCCUUGAGUUUUUCCUUCACAUGCAAUCUCCGUUUACGCACGUACAUUUCAACUUACACAUCAAAAUACGUACCUUAAUUAAACGCAGAGGCGGAACCAGGGAUCCGGAGUCAUAUGACCCUCACCCUAAAUCUCCGGGGGAUAUUUGUUUUUUCUUCCCUUCUUUUUUUUUGUGUUUUCUUCUCUUCUUUACUUUUC